CUUUUCCCACACUUUGGCACUGAGACAAUGAGACAUGCUGUAGGCGGCCAGUGCUGAACUAUAUGGGUCGUCUUGGCUAGGUUUUUUUAUUUGCCAAUUAAGAAGCUGGAUCACAUUCCUGGAUUCUCUCUGGAUGGAGAUGGCCUGUGCCCAGAGCAGAACUGGACCUCUGUUUGAACGUCAUUCUUCUCUCCAGCGUGAACAUCUAAAUGGUAACAAUAUAAACCUCUGGAUGGAAAAUGAACUAAAGGAAAACUAAACUAAACAUUUUGACUUUGAGCUUAAUAGGACCGGGGUUGAUUUUGAUAUGCCGGAUUGUUUUUGGUUAUUGGUAAAUUGUGUUUAAAUUUAAAUUUUUUUACAAAAUAAUAACUAUUUUUGCUCAUUUCUUGUCUCCAGCCAUUUUAUUUUGCAUUCACUUUGUUUCCUAUUGUAAUCAACUGGACUAUACUUUCGAAUUAUCACAGCUUAGAGGUUACACUUCACUGCAUCAGUUAAGGUCAGAGGUCAUGAUUCAACAAUAAGCACAGAGAGUUUCAAGGUCCGAACCACUGCUGACCCAAAAGAACAAAAGGAGACCUGUCUUACCUUUACCAAGAAACAUCUUGAUGAUUUCUAAGACUUUUGGAAAAAUAUUCUGUGGACUGAUGAGACAACAGUGGGACUUUUUGAAAGGUGUGGCUGCAGUGUGAUGUCCUGGGGCUGCAUUGUUGCUUCAAGGCCUUUAGGACCUGCUGUAACUGAUGGACCCAUGAAUUCUGCUCGAUCAUAGAAAACCCUGAAGAAUUUCCAUCCAUAACAGAAGUUUAGAUUUUGUAAUGGCCUAGUCACAGUGCAUGCAACAAUAAAGAGCUCUUUUGUAUGGAGAA
Girardinichthys multiradiatus is the source of this 869-nucleotide long non-coding RNA. RefSeq lists it as uncharacterized. The transcript is spliced from 2 exons. NCBI's taxonomy places the organism in Eukaryota, Metazoa, Chordata, Actinopteri, Cyprinodontiformes, Goodeidae. The record is from RefSeq and is a predicted model, not a curated record.